Molecule: ribosomal RNA, 253 nt
Filed under: uncultured bacterium
Lineage: Bacteria
Description: partial 16S ribosomal RNA
Rfam family: Bacterial small subunit ribosomal RNA
Source: RNAcentral
UACGUAGGUGGCAAGCGUUACUCGGAAUCACUGGGCGUAAAGCGCAUGUAGGCGGUUUGGUAAGUCUUUUGUGAAAGCUCCCGGCUUAACUGGGAGAGGUCAAGGGAAACUACCGGACUAGAGUGUGGUAGGGGAUACUGGAAUUCCUGGUGUAGCGGUGAAAUGCGUAGAUAUCAGGAGGAAUACCUAUGGCGAAAGCAGGUAUCUGGGCCAUCACUGACGCUGAGCUGCGAAAGCUAGGGGAGCAAACAGG